GAUGAAGAACGCAGCGAAAUGCGAUAAGUAAUGUGAAUUGCAGAAUUCAGUGAAUCAUCGAAUCUUUGAACGCACAUUGCGCCCCCUGGUAUUCCGGGGGGCAUGCCUGUCCGAGCGUCAUUACAACCCUCAAGCUCAGCUUGGUAUUGGGCCCCGCCGACCCGGCGGGCCCUAAAGUCAGUGGCGGUGCCGUCCGGCUCCGAGCGUAGUAAUUCUUCUCGCUCUGGAGGUCCGGUCGUGUGCUCGCCAGCAACCCCCAAUUUUUUUCAGGUUGACCUCGGAUCAGGUAGGGAUACCCGCUGAACUUAAGCAUAUCAAUAACGGAGGA
RNAcentral lists this unclassified non-coding RNA (328 nucleotides) under soil metagenome. RNAcentral's name for it is "partial contains 5.8S ribosomal RNA, internal transcribed spacer 2, and large subunit ribosomal RNA". The stretch from base 1 to 120 matches the Rfam family "5.8S ribosomal RNA", at positions 35 to 154 of the family's 154-position model. The record is from RNAcentral.